GACGAACGCUGGCGGCGUGCUUAACACAUGCAAGUCGAACGCUGAAGCUCAGAUUUUGCUGGGCGGAUGAUUGGCGAACGGGUGAGUAACACGCGAGUAACCUGCCCCUUUCUUUGGGAUAUCGCCUGGAAACGGGUGCUAUUACUGGAUAUUCUCUGUUAUUCGCAUGGGGGUUGGUGGAAAGGGCUUUUUUGGUGGGGGUUGGGCUUGCGGCCUAUCUGCUUGGUGGAGGGGUGAUGGCAUACCAAGGCAUAGACGGGUAGCCAGCCUGAGAGGGUGACCGGUCACAUAGGCACGGACAUACGGCCCAGACUCCUACGCGAGGCAGCAGUGUCGAAUAUUGCACAAUGGGCGCAAGCGUGAUGCAGCGACGCCGCGUGAGGUAUGGAGACCUUCGGAUUGUGAACCUCUUUCGCUCAAGGUCAAGCCGCAACAAUGGUUAUGGUGAGGGUAGUGAGUAAAGAAGCGCCGGCUAACUACGUG
RNAcentral lists this ribosomal RNA (483 nucleotides) under uncultured bacterium. RNAcentral describes it as "partial 16S ribosomal RNA". It matches the Rfam family "Bacterial small subunit ribosomal RNA", at positions 28 to 507 of the family's 1533-position model. The record is from RNAcentral.